AUUAUAUUGAGAUGAUUAUGCCAAUAUGCCGUGAACAAGUUUUAUUAGAGAUUUCUCCAAAAAAAAAAGAAAAAGCAAGAGACGCCAGAAGCCCAGAAUCCCAGAGAUUCAAUGGAGAAGAAGAACCGCCGCCGCCGCCGAUCUGGAGGAAGGAACCGCCGCCGCGAGCACCAAGAAGAAGUGGUCUCCGGAUCGCAGAGAACGCGGGCGGCCUUUCGAAUCUGGUUUUCAGAAACAGAAUAAAGGUUUGAUCGAUUUGGGUCUGUGCUGCCAUAUUUUGGUUCCACGUUUCAGGUUGGAGUCUCAACUUCCACAAGUGUGAUCCAGAAGAAUACGGUUCAUGUGACAUUGUGACUCAGGCUGUACAGGUACGGUUCGUGACUCAGGCUGUACUGGUGGACUAAGUCAAGGCUGGUGGUUUGGAGCAAGAGAAGGACUACCCUUAAAAACAGUGGGACUGAUCGUGGUACCUGCAAAUUUGACAAGAGUAAAGAUGUUGCUACUGUAUCCAACUUCAGCAUUCUUUCCCUUGACGAAGAUCAAAUUGCUGCAAAUUUGGUCCACAAUGUACUUUUGCCAUUGAAAUAUAGGUUUGGAUCGUUUCCUUCAAGUCUCAGAAUAAUGAACUACCAAGAGAGUUGUGUACUCUAGACCAUAUGUAAACCAUGUUUGCUGCAAUAUAAGUUUCUUUUGUUCCAAAAUCCCUGUUAUGUGCUUUUA
This is a long non-coding RNA of Rosa rugosa (rugosa rose), 720 nucleotides long. RefSeq lists it as uncharacterized. The record is from RefSeq and is a predicted model, not a curated record. Lineage: Eukaryota; Viridiplantae; Streptophyta; Magnoliopsida; Rosales; Rosaceae. The transcript is spliced from 3 exons.